Molecule: long non-coding RNA, 715 nt
Organism: Parasteatoda tepidariorum (common house spider)
Lineage: Eukaryota; Metazoa; Arthropoda; Arachnida; Araneae; Theridiidae
Source: RefSeq, a predicted model, not a curated record
GUGAGGGCCAUUCCCUGGAUUAACUUUUUUUUAGUUUGGCUCUUUAACCAUAGUUUUAUGUCUUUGGUUUGAGUGUUAUGCUCUGCAAUCCGUGUGUAUUACAACCACUUAAAGAUUAUGUUAUACUUAUGCUCACAUUCCUAUCAUGCCUAUUCUAACGUUUACACGAAACUUCAUUAAACUAUUUCUCCAAACACCGGAUAUUGUGAUUUUACUUAUUAUUUAUAGCAAAUUUUAUUUAGAAGUCUUAAACAAAUCUAAGAUUUAAGCACAUUUUUUAUCAGCAAAAUAACGUGAGCUCCUAAGAUUAAGUACAGAUGUGCAUCAGCUUUACUUGGUUCCUUUUUUCAUUGUUGUUAGAAGUGAAGUGAAAUUUCAUCGCAAUUUUUUCUUGCUUUAGUAGUUGAAGGAAACGUUUUCAAGAAGUUGAUUCAAAAAGUAGUGUUCUGUUCCUGGUGGGUAAAGUUGCAGUGAUAGCAAAAGUAACCUUGUCUAUCUUGUUCUUGAAUAUUUACGGAGAGAGCAGAAUCCAAAUUCAGAAGUUACUCUUCCUAUCUAAUCGACGAAGAAUGCGGAGUUUUUACUAGAAGAUUUAAACUGUCCAAAGUAACGCCAUUUGGAGGUACGUUUAUUUUUUUCAAAAUAUUUUUCUUUUAAAUAGACUGAAAAUGGUCGCAAAAAAGGCGUCUACAUUUUUUUUAGAAAACUGUUUACG